RNAcentral lists this small nucleolar RNA (125 nucleotides) under Echinops telfairi (small Madagascar hedgehog). Its description in RNAcentral is "Small nucleolar RNA SNORA32 (ENSETEG00000022864.1)". It matches the Rfam family "Small nucleolar RNA SNORA32". Rfam says of the family: ACA32 is a member of the H/ACA class of snoRNA that guide the sites of modification of uridines to pseudouridines. The record is from RNAcentral. Lineage: Eukaryota; Metazoa; Chordata; Mammalia; Afrosoricida; Tenrecidae.
UGAACAUUAGCAGGGCUUUUAAGAAUAUAGUUUCUGAUUGGCUGUGGAUUUGACCAAACAACAAAAACUUCCCACUAGGUUUUAUCUUUGCUACCUUGCUAGCAUUAAGCCGAUUCGGAACAUUU